RNAcentral lists this small nuclear RNA (141 nucleotides) under Microcebus murinus (gray mouse lemur). Its description in RNAcentral is "U4 spliceosomal RNA (ENSMICG00000044331.1)". It matches the Rfam family "U4 spliceosomal RNA". From Rfam's summary of the family: U4 small nuclear RNA (U4 snRNA) is a component of the major U2-dependent spliceosome. Lineage: Eukaryota; Metazoa; Chordata; Mammalia; Primates; Cheirogaleidae. The record is from Rfam by way of RNAcentral.
AGCUUUGCAUAGUGGCAGUGUCGUACCCAAUGAGGUUUAUCUGAGGCGCGAUUAUUGCUAAUUGAAAACUUUUCCCAAUACUCCACCAUGACGACUUGAAAUAUGGUUGGCAUUGGCAAUUUUUAAUUCUCCCUAUGGGGA